UAAAGGAUCAUAUGAUUUUCUUGGGCUACAAUACUACACUUCAUAUUACGCAAAGCCAAAUGGUUCAAUUGAUCCAGAUCAUAUUAGAUACAAAACUGACAAUCGCAUUACUGAAACUCCUUAUGAUUAUAAUGGUAAUCUCAUUGGUCCCCAGGCUUAUUCAUCUUGGUUUUACAUUUUUCCGAAAGGUAUCAGACAUCUUUUGAACUAUACCAAAGAUAAAUACAAUGAUCCAGUAAUUUAUAUUACUGAAAAUGGAGUUGACAAUUUUAAUAAUGAAACUGAAUCUAUUGAGGAAGCACUUAAUGAUCAAUUCAGGAUAGACUAUUAUAAAGAACACAUGUGGCACGCUCUAAGAUCCCUCAAGGAUUACCAUGUUAAUAUCAAAGGUUACUUUGCAUGGUCAU
This 407-nucleotide unclassified non-coding RNA is filed under the name Hevea brasiliensis (rubber tree). The record is from RNAcentral. Lineage: Eukaryota; Viridiplantae; Streptophyta; Magnoliopsida; Malpighiales; Euphorbiaceae.